RNAcentral lists this transfer RNA (83 nucleotides) under Daldinia sp. FL1419. RNAcentral describes it as "tRNA-Asp". It matches the Rfam family "tRNA". Rfam says of the family: Transfer RNA (tRNA) molecules are approximately 80 nucleotides in length. Their secondary structure includes four short double-helical elements and three loops (D, anti-codon, and T loops). Further hydrogen bonds mediate the characteristic L-shaped molecular structure. tRNAs have two regions of fundamental functional importance: the anti-codon, which is responsible for specific mRNA codon recognition, and the 3' end, to which the tRNAs corresponding amino acid is attached (by aminoacyl-tRNA synthetases). tRNAs cope with the degeneracy of the genetic code in two manners: having more than one tRNA (with a specific anti-codon) for a particular amino acid; and 'wobble' base-pairing, i.e. permitting non-standard base-pairing at the 3rd anti-codon position. The record is from RNAcentral. Lineage: Eukaryota; Fungi; Ascomycota; Sordariomycetes; Xylariales; Hypoxylaceae.
UCUCGAUUCGUCUAGUGGUUAGGAUACCUGCUUGUCAUGGCACAAAUACGCAGGUGGCCGGGGUUCAAUUCCCCGAUCGAGAG